Non-coding RNA from Gasterosteus aculeatus aculeatus (three-spined stickleback), 1491 nucleotides. The record is from RefSeq and is a predicted model, not a curated record. NCBI's taxonomy places the organism in Eukaryota, Metazoa, Chordata, Actinopteri, Perciformes, Gasterosteidae.
AGAGGGGGAGAUAUCCUCAGCUCCGGAUGGCCGACAGUUGCACUUUGUGCGCGGAGCAGACGCAAGAAAGCAAUCUCAAUCUGCAGCCGUGGAGCCGUUGCUCCCUCUCUCUCUCUCUUUCUCUCUCUCUCUCUCUCUCUCUCUCUCCUUCUCCUCCACACUGACAAGGGGGCUCGUCCGAGGCUGCGAGCGGGAGUGGACCGCCUCCUCCCCUUCCAGCCCGGCCGGUAGGAGGGUCUUUAGCAGCUCUGUGAGAGAGAGGGAUCCACACACGGACCAGCGGGCUGCAGCGUUUCCACAACCUGGGAGGACGCACGCAAGAGGAGUGGAAACGGAGGGGGGAUGCGUGGGGGGGAGACGGUGUCAGUGCGAGCGUUCGAUUCCCCCUACUGGUUGCACACGGAGCUACCGGCUGGAGCACACUGUCCUCACGUGAAGGGUUGGAUUUUAUCUCAAAUACAGGGAAGUUGGAUUUACAGACUUUGAUGUUCAACGUUUUAGAAUCUGUGUUUGUUUGUAUAUGUUAAGGAUGAUGCCUACUUUAAUAGCUUGAUUGUGUGUGGUUUAGAGAACAUAAAACUAGUAAAUAGGCGUGUCUCACGACGGGGUCAACAAGUCUUCACUUUUAAGAGCCAAGAUCACAAAGACGACAUGAAAAGCCAGCAGCCGCAAUCUGAAAGCACUCACAAGGGAGGUGAGGAGGAAACCACUUCCAGUGCAACAUCAAAAGACGUCAACAGAUGAAUCUUUUGAUUGACCGUGACCAAAAACAUUGCAAGAAUGUCCCGUCAGCGAGCAACCUCAGCUCCUCUCGUACUUCUCUGAGGAUCAAAAACAUGCGGGGGAAAAAGCAUGAUGCUCCCAACAUCCUCCUUUUUUCAUUUCAUCACACAGACACACAAACUAACCUUAAGCUCCUGGCGCUACCUCAGCGAAUGUUCCUGAGCCUAAUUUUACACAAUUAGCAAAUCGACUUGUUUUUCAUUUUAAUCUUCUGACAGGGGUCCCGCUGAAAACACACACACACACACACACACACACACAGAUUUCCACAUCUGAAAAUAGUCCAGAGUUUACCUUCCCAAACAAUAAUAACCAAAUUAUGGAUGUGUAACACGACACAGAUAAGAGAGUUCAGCUGUGGAGAGUACGCCGUCUUGGUGUACUGAUCGUUACUUGUGCUGCAUCAAUACGUAUUACGUUGUAAGUGCUGUUGUACUGAAAUGACUAUCUGAGGAAUGUAUUGAUCUCCUGAAAGCAAUCCAUCAAUGAUCAUUAUGCAAAAUGUAAUAGUAGAGACUCAGAAGGGGAAAAAAAAGGAAAAUUGAAUCAAAUUAAGUUUUGUAACAUUCUGUAAAAACUCAGGUAAUAAGGGUGAUGUACAAAGAAAUCUAUGUCUCCUUAGAGGCGCCGUUGUUUUCUCAAUCGCUCACACUCUAAAUUGUGCAAAUGUUUGUUUGUUUUUUAAUUUUGAUUAGAGCUAUGUGUGUA